GAUGAACGCUGGCGGCGUGCUUAACACAUGCAAGUCGAACGAUGAAGCCCAACUUGCUUGGUGUUUUGGUGGCGAACUGGUGAUUAACACGUGAGUAACCUGCCCUUAACUUUUUGAUAAGCCUUGGAAACUGGGUCUUUUACCUGAUACCAGCUUCCACCUCAGGGUGAGUGUUGGAAAUAUUUGUCGGUUUUGGAUUUACUCGCGGCCUUUCCGCUUUUUGGUGUUGUAAUGGCUCACGCCGGCCACGACGGGUAUCCGUCCUGAGAGGGUGAGCGGCGACCAGAGGACUGAGAAACGGCACAGACUGGUACGGGAGGCAGAAGUGGGGAAUAUUGCACAAUGAGAGCAAGCCUGAUGAAGAGACGCCGCGUGAGGGAUGACGGCCUUCGGGUUGUAAAAAUCUUUAAGUAAGGAAGAAGCGAAAGUGACGGUACCUGAAGAAGAAGCACCGGCUAACUACGUG
RNAcentral lists this ribosomal RNA (466 nucleotides) under uncultured bacterium. Its description in RNAcentral is "partial 16S ribosomal RNA". It matches the Rfam family "Bacterial small subunit ribosomal RNA", at positions 28 to 507 of the family's 1533-position model. The record is from RNAcentral.